RNAcentral lists this ribosomal RNA (805 nucleotides) under Streptomyces violascens. RNAcentral's name for it is "bacterial SSU rRNA". It matches the Rfam family "Bacterial small subunit ribosomal RNA", at positions 48 to 866 of the family's 1533-position model. Lineage: Bacteria; Bacillati; Actinomycetota; Actinomycetes; Kitasatosporales; Streptomycetaceae. The record is from RNAcentral.
CUUACACAUGCAAGUCGAACGAUGAACCGCUUUCGGGCGGGGAUUAGUGGCGAACGGGUGAGUAACACGUGGGCAAUCUGCCCUGCACUCUGGGACAAGCCCUGGAAACGGGGUCUAAUACCGGAUAUGACCGUCUGCCGCAUGGUGGAUGGUGUAAAGCUCCGGCGGUGCAGGAUGAGCCCGCGGCCUAUCAGCUUGUUGGUGAGGUAGUGGCUCACCAAGGCGACGACGGGUAGCCGGCCUGAGAGGGCGACCGGCCACACUGGGACUGAGACACGGCCCAGACUCCUACGGGAGGCAGCAGUGGGGAAUAUUGCACAAUGGGCGAAAGCCUGAUGCAGCGACGCCGCGUGAGGGAUGACGGCCUUCGGGUUGUAAACCUCUUUCAGCAGGGAAGAAGCGAAAGUGACGGUACCUGCAGAAGAAGCGCCGGCUAACUACGUGCCAGCAGCCGCGGUAAUACGUAGGGCGCAAGCGUUGUCCGGAAUUAUUGGGCGUAAAGAGCUCGUAGGCGGCUUGUCACGUCGGUUGUGAAAGCCCGGGGCUUAACCCCGGGUCUGCAGUCGAUACGGGCAGGCUAGAGUUCGGUAGGGGAGAUCGGAAUUCCUGGUGUAGCGGUGAAAUGCGCAGAUAUCAGGAGGAACACCGGUGGCGAAGGCGGAUCUCUGGGCCGAUACUGACGCUGAGGAGCGAAAGCGUGGGGAGCGAACAGGAUUAGAUACCCUGGUAGUCCACGCCGUAAACGGUGGGCACUAGGUGUGGGCAACAUUCCACGUUGUCCGUGCCGCAGCUAACGCAUUAAGUG